UACGGGGGGAGCAAGCGUUGUUCGGAUUUACUGGGCGUAAAGGGCGCGUAGGCGGUCAGCACAAGUCAGUUGUGAAAUCUCCGGGCUUAACUCGGAAAGGUCAACUGAUACUGUGCGACUAGAGUGCGGAAGGGGCAACUGGAAUUCUCGGUGUAGCGGUGAAGUGCGUAGAUAUCGAGAGGAACACCUGCGGCGAAGGCGGGUUGCUGGGCCGACACUGACGCUGAUGCGCGAAAGCCAGGGGAGCGAACGGG
Molecule: ribosomal RNA, 254 nt
Filed under: uncultured bacterium
Lineage: Bacteria
Description: partial 16S ribosomal RNA
Rfam family: Bacterial small subunit ribosomal RNA
Source: RNAcentral